Molecule: long non-coding RNA, 5616 nt
Filed under: Sus scrofa (pig)
Lineage: Eukaryota; Metazoa; Chordata; Mammalia; Artiodactyla; Suidae
Description: lncRNA (ENSSSCG00015068984.1)
Source: RNAcentral
UUUUUUUUUUUUUUUUUUUAGGGCUGCACCCACCACAUAUGGAAGUUCCCAGGCUAGGGGUCACAUCAGAGCUACAGCUGUCGGGCUACACCACAGCCACAGCAACACCAGAUCCGAGCCGAGUCUAUGACCUACAUCACAGCUCACGGUAAUGAUGGAUCCCUAACCCACUGAACGAGGCUAGGGAUCGAACCCACCUCCUCAUGGAUACUAGUCGGGUUCGUUGACUGCUGAGCCACCACGGGAGCUCCUAGAAUGGGUUUUUUGUAGGCCCAGAUGAGGGGACAGAAUCAGACUAAAUACUGUUAAAUAUGAAAAUAUGAGGUGGGCUGGCGUUAUUAAAAAUUCAUUCCUGGGAGGACAACACUCACUUACAGAGCAAGUCAAAUCCAAUCAUCCUGGUGAAUAUUAGACGGAGGUCUUAGAACUCUAGACUGACCGCAGAGACAAAGGUUGAUGCAGAGGCUUCAGUUAAAUGCCAGCCCGCUGGGUAGAGAUCCCAGUUCCAACCCACUGCCCCAAGGCUACCUUCUACCUCCGUGUCUGAGGGAAUAGGAGCCCACGUUUACUUCACUUGGCGGCAGGGGCAUUUUAUAGCUUCCAUUCGCUCCCCAGCAAUCACAAAGAAUGUGUUCUGGCCCAGGCCCACCCCUCCGGGGAACAAUAACCAUUUCAUACAUUGGUAUUUAGUUACAUGGCUGUGAAUGCCCUCUAGCCAAUCAAAAUAGGGUUCUUGAAGAUCAGAUUUUCAUUUCUGCCAAUGAGGAUAUUGGCUAAAGCCACUCUGGAAAAGGAAAGAAGAGCAAACGUUCUGUUUCAAAAACUUUGGGUGUGCUUGCUUCCUAUGCACGGAUAGAGACGGUUGCUGGAGCCGUGAUGAUGGAGGUCAUAGCACAGAAUGUGGAGACACAGGCAAUUCACGCGUCAGAGAAUUCCGAUACAUCCCAAAAGAUGAAACGUAAUAACAGAAAAACUUGUGUCUUCAAAUUGGCCAAAGCAGGACAAACCCUCAUGGGUGUUAGCAUAAAGCAUAAACAAAAAUACCCGUCCUUAUUCUGGUCUUUUAAAGUCAGACUUUGCUGGAGCAAGUGCGAGGAGUCUUAGAAGCCCAUCUUAGCAGAAGUGAGAUCAGAUCUAGGGAUUGAGUCACACACAGAGCAGUUUGGACACUGAAGGUACCUUUCUCUUCAUCACAGGAAAAAAAAAAAAAAAGGUUCCCCUUUAUUUAACAAAGAUACGGAAGAUAAAGAGAAAUGUUAAGCAGAAAAGCAUUUAAAAAUCUGCUUUGAAAAGAAAAAAAAAAAAAAUCCCCAAUUCUUAUAGCUCUCCAUGUGCUGCCUGGGAUAGAAGAAAAGAGAAAGCGAUACGAAAUGAAAUGGGGCAUGAAACCCACAAGUUGACAAAACAAGUUUGCCUCCUGUUGAAAUUGACUGGACUAGAACCUCCAGAUGCCAUGGGAGCGGCCCUAGAAAAGGCAAAAAGACAAAAAAAAAAAAAAUAUGCUUAAGACUAUUCUUUUUCUUUUUUCUUUUUUGGUUUUUUGGGGCUGUACCUUCGGCAUAUGGAGGUUUCUAGGCUAGGUGACAAAACAGAGCUUCAGCUACUGGCCUAUACCACAGCCACAGAAACGCCAGAUCCGAGCCACAUCUGCAACCUACACCACAGUUCAUGGCAACGCUAGAUCCCCGACCCUCUGAGCGAGACCAGGGAUCAAACCUGAGUCCUCAUGGAUGCUCGUUGGAUCCACUUCUACUGCGCCACAAGGGGAACUCCCCUGCUUAAGACUAUGCUUAAGGAUGACCUCCCUUCUCCUGCUGAGAGACGCAGAAGGAAGCUUUCAGAGUUACUAGAGUUGUUCUUAAUUCCAGCCUUUGCUCUCUAAAACACAGAGGGGUAAGACAACUUCCCAGGUCAAACAUGAGGAGAAAUUUCCACUCUUAGCACUCACCCGAGCACUUAUCCACAGGGCUUAGAGUACAAAUGGGUGGCCACCCCCAGCGCAUGACCAUGUCAACAUUGUAUUCCAACUACCACCCACCUUCCUCACUGCCCAGUGCCCUGUCUAUGCAGUCACAGGGAGCCGACAGUGGGGUGUGCCAGCACAGAUACUGAAACACAGGAUCAGCCACUUUCUACUAAGCUCCAAACUACGCUGAGGCCACUCUACCACUAGACGCCCAGGAACCUUACAAGUGAUGCCAUUCAGGGUCUCGAGAUGGUGUGUGCAUUUCUGGGGGUCAGAAAAAGAAAACAGGGCUUUAAAGCAAAAGUCUAGGAAGCCAGGAUGGUUGAUGGGGACACUGAGAGAGGAUGGAGCUCUCUGAUCAGGACCAAGAAAAAAGACCACUGUGGGAGGCAUGGGCCAGAUGCGCUUCCUGCAAAUGCAAAGGGGCCCAGAGAUGCUCUUCUUGGCGCUGGGGUCCGUUAUCACCUGAACAGCCUGAACAGGUGAGGUUCUGGGGUGCUUGCUGAGCUUAUGAAUCACAAGCUUAUGAAUCACAGUCAUAGUAUUUUCUCCUCUAUCUCGAAGAUUAAAUUGCAAACCAUUUCAAAGCUCUAGAUUCUAGUUUACCCCUCUAGUAGGACACUAAGGCUAGUGCCCCAGAUAACCUCAUCAUUAACAAAAACAGGCCUGUUAGCAAAGUUUGUAAAGCAAACUUCUGUGCAACAACUUGCCUUUUGACCUGUAUUGGGAUACUAGGCAUCUUCUAACCAGAAGUGAUAGGAUUACAAUGAGCACAGCAUUUCAAAACAAACUGAAAAAGAAAAGGUCAACUUUCUGAUAAAGCAUUAGUGAGUCUAAGCUAAUAAUAAUACUAUGCCACAUCUCAGAAAAAUUCCAAAUACUUAAAGUUUAAAAAUGCAGUACAGGAGUUCCCGUUGUGGCACAAUAGGAAAAUUCCAUAUAUAUCUUGGAAGAUAAAUUUCCCAGGAAGUAGAUUUUUUUAUUAAAACGAGAUAGAAAAUAUAAGAGAAAAAGUAAGAAAAUUGGAGAGUCAAUCUGUGAGGACUCCCUUCCAACUUAAUGUGUUUCCAGAAGAAGAGAGAAACCAUCUUUUUUUUUUUUUAACAUUCCAGAAAAUGGUUCAGAACCGAAGUACAUGAAUUUCCAGACUGAGAUGGUCCACUGAAAGCCAAGUAAAACAAUGAAGAGAAAGACUUGCAGUGAGGUAUGUUAUAAUGAGACUUCAUUACAGAGAGAAAGGACAUCACAAAGACAAGAAGAAAAUCCUAAAAACUGUCAGAGAAGGGGAAAUAAUGAUAUUCAAAGCAACAGGAAUUAGAAUGACAGAUCUCUCAAUGGUAAUAGUGAGCCUGGAAGAGCAACACAUUCCAAAUUCAGAGGGCAAAGGAUUUCCAAUGCAGACUUCUUACCAGAUUCAACUAGCAGUCAAACUUGGAAGAUCUCAAAAAAUGUAUCUCCCAUUGCAUUCUUUUGGGGAACUUCUUUAUAGAAGAUGUGUUUUAUCAGCAAGAGAACAGAAACAAAGAAAAAGGGGGACGUGGGUCUACAAAACAGGGGAUGCCCCCUGAGAAAGAGCAAAAUGAACCCCUGAUAUGACGAUAAAAGGGGAUUCGAGGAUGGCUGUGCCCAGGUCCCAAGAGCCACAAAGCCAGCUUGGAAGAGGUCCGAGGGCCAGGUCAGACAAUGAACCAGGUGAAGCAGGACAUACCUGCUAUUUAGCAAUGUGGACAAAGAGGGGGUGAACUGGUUGUCUCUGGAGCACAGGCGUCAAGGUUGGUGACAGGUGGGGCAAACGACUGCUGUUUCUAAUAAUAAGCCUUAUAGAAAUAUCUGACUUUAGAAUUAUGCAUCUGUACAGCUUUGAUAAGGAAAGAAGCGAAGCUCAGGCAACUGAUCAGAGUCCAGAAUGAGAACUCAGGCAAUGAUCAGGAGAACCUGCAGCUAGAAGGCAAAGGUAGUUUGUAAAACUUCUGGGAAACAGAGAAGAGCUACCGAAGGCGGGGCUGAGCACCUGGCAAGAGCAGGUGAGAAGAGAAUGGCCCAGUAAACAGACAGGAAUGGGGUCACCAUUUCUUUUCAAGGAAAACAGUUCCUAACUGUGUCCUUGCCUGGAGUUACUGAGGUCAGUAGGAGCAGAGGAGCGGUAGGAGCCAAGUGUGGCGCCGGGAAGUGAGAAGGCAAGCAGAAAGGCCGUCUGGGGACACUUUGCUGCUCUUUAGCCUGGCUCUCUUCCUUUCCCCUAGAUUAGGAAGACGGCGACUCUAUCUUCUGAGACAAUGAAGUUCGGCCACGCCAGCUCACAGAGCUCAAGGCUGAAAGGGCACAGGCAGGGGUGAAAUCCCAAGUCCACGUUGGUCCCCCCAUCUCUUUCUAUGGUGCAUCCUAUUUCCAUUUCCUCCGUGUAAACCACUUCGACAACUCUUUUCUUGCCUUUAGAACCUGACACAGGUCUGGUUUCCCAAAGCCCACCCUACCCAUGAGUCCUCACGGCAGCACCUGAGGGACAAGAGGUUUGACCAUCGAUCCUGAAGGCAAUUAACUACAGGUGAAUCCUGUUAACGUUGUUAACACCUCAGCCAAAAGAAGAAGGCCACGGUGCAUCUACAGGUUAGUGAGGAUAUGACAGCCAGGUUAACACUGGUGGGAGGGAGAUCUCCUUGAACCUCACUUUGAUUCACCUGCAGAGUGAAUUCAGAGCUGCAAAACAGUAUCGAAGGGCAAAGCCUGAAAGUACCGUAUUUUUGUGUAUUUCAAGAUACUUCCACAUAGAGUUUACGCCAUCCCCCUUAUGGUAGGAAACUCAGCUUGACCUAUUUUUAUGGAAAGUAUUUACUAUUUACAUUCACAGAAUCUAUUCUCCCAGAAGUGGUUCCCAGGGUGACAGCUGUAGUUCCCGCAUCUUUCCCUCCCAUCUCAUGAGAGAAAAUUUGACUUAUUUCACUCCCAGUGUUUAUAAACGGCUUAUGAGAGAGUAGCAACAUGACAGAAAGUGUCAUUCUCUUCCUAAACACGCAUUGUUUUUUAAAAUCUUUGAUUUGUGGAUGCUUCAAUCAAAACAGUCUAUGCAUCAGUGGUGGGGGAGGUUGCCCAAGCAGGGUGUUUAGUAGUUUACGGCAACCAUCUGCCCCCAAAGGAGAUCAUGACCACUUGAGGGGUUAUAAACAGUUCCUGCUGGUGGAAGCCUCAGCUCUGCUCUACCCCAGAUUCCUUCCCUGAAAGCCGUAGCGGGGAGCAAGGGGAGAAGGGCAGUGUAACACCGGCUUCCGCUUCUUGGGGUUCAACAGCACCUCUUAUCCGGGGUGACUGAAAUAACCGCGGCUCUGGAGCCCCUCCAGACUUGUCCCUUGGUCCCCCCAACUCCCCCAGCGCCCCUGCCCCGCCCCUCGCAUGCACUCAGGACGCCUCCUUCUGGCUAGCGACGGAUAAACCAGUUCCAAGUCGGUUGGUUACUCCUCCCGAGAAACACAAAUCAUCUCUAAACAUGCAAAUCCCCCAAGUCAAAAGCAAGACCCCCCCCCCCACCACUGAUCUGUGAGAUGCGUUCAGCGUGCGGGAGUGCGCUGCUGCGUUUCUCCGAGGCCGUGGCUCAAUUUCCACAUUGAUGCUUGCUGCCUCCGGCGGCACCCCAACCCAGAUCGGAUGGGGAAGCC